RNAcentral lists this long non-coding RNA (2172 nucleotides) under Vitis vinifera (wine grape). RNAcentral's name for it is "long non-coding RNA (VVIN_LNC001478)". The record is from RNAcentral. Lineage: Eukaryota; Viridiplantae; Streptophyta; Magnoliopsida; Vitales; Vitaceae.
ACUUGCUUGGUUAGGAAGUGAUUUGGGUGGUGCCUUGGCCAAAUGAGGCCCUCACCUAUUUAUAGGCACCAAUGGAACUCUCUGGAACCUUGGAGGGUUUCUUACAAAUCAAGAAAAUUCUAGAAUACCUUGCACAAUUCUAUGUACAACCCUAUGUACAAGAGAUCUCUAGAAUUCUCUAGAAAGCCUUGGACUCCUCUCAUGCCUUCCACCAUAGUGUAAAGAUGUGUAGACAUCUCUAGGCAUCUCUAGAAUCUUCCACACUUUUCCCUCCAAUGGCUUAGUGUAGAUGGCUCCAAGAGUCUCCAGAAGCUUCUUGGGAUCUAUAUAAACCCAUGAGGAGGCUCAUUUGAAGCAUCCUGUGACACUCUCCCCCACCUAUGCCGUCGACAUCCUCGUCGUUGCCUUUUUUUGAAACCUUUCGAUGUGUUUCCAGAACCUUCUCAAGGCAUCCGCAUGUUCCCAACUUACCUGCCUCCUAGGUAGUCAUUUCCAUCGGACUAGAUACUUUAUCACAAGAGGGACCCUUUGUCUCCUGGUGACCUAUUCAGCCAGGAUAUUUUUCACUUCUUUUUCUUGUGAGGCCUUGGAUGGAUGCAGAUCCCUGCACUUUCGAUGCUUGGAGUGCUGCUUUCUCUUACCCAUCAAGUUCACCUUUGCCUUGGUCACCUUGUCAAUGUAUGUGUGGGCUACCUUAGCUUACUCCCCUUUUCUCUCAUUUAUUUGCACCCUUGAUAGUAAGGAGGUCUUAGGUGUACUAGGAUUUGGGUUGAAUUGGAGGGCACCUAGUAGUUGCAUCGAGCCCAUAUGUGCUUUGUCUUCCUGUUCCAUCUCCUCGAUCAUGGCAUUGAGCACCUUCCUCUUUGGAUAAUGUCGUGCCCAAUGUGGACUAUCACAUAGGAAGCAUUUGAUUUUAGGCGUAAACUCCUUCCUUUUUGCUUUACCCCUUCCUUCUUGGACAUUAGGCGUCUUGCCUGAUCCCAUUCUAGGAGCAUUGUGGUCUCUUGAGACCUCGUCUCCCCUACUUGUGGCGUGGCUAUCCUCCAAAGACUCAACCUUGGAUAAGUCUCCCCUCUUGUAAUCCGUUAAAGACUCUGCUACUGCCAUAGCAGUGGUUAAGUCCUGAAUGCCUCGACGCCUUAAUUCCUACUCGGCCCACCCUUGCAGGUUAUCCAUGAAGUUGAAUAGCAACUCAUCCUCAGUCAUGUUAGGAAUCUCAAGCAUGAGUGAAGAGAAUUCCUUGACAUAGUCGCGUAUCAAGCUUGUGUGCUUGAGACGUUUCAUGUUUUUCCUAGCCAAGUAGCAGCCUUGUAGAUGGCCAACUCCUGCCUAACCUCCUAGUCUUGGGACUCCAUUCGAGUGGCCAAAGCCUCUAUCCUUGACUCCAUGCUAGCAAGCAUGCUCAAGACCUUUUCUUGGAAGGACACAAACUCCUCGUGCGACACUAGCUGAACCUGUGAGACUAGCACCCUCUCACGAAGGUCUUGGAUUUGCUCCCUUAGAUCCUCUAAACCCUUCUCCAUGCCUUGCUCAAUCAAGUCCAACCCCUCCCAAGUGUCCGCCAUGGCUAGCUCACUUUGGCUAACCUUGCCUCCAUGUUAGCAACGACAUCAUGAGAUUUAUCCUUCUUGCCCCUGCCCCAUGCAGUAGGCUCAGUCUCUCUCUUCUCCUCCAUGUUAGAGUCCGACAUGCUUCUUUUACUAUGCCCGCUUCGUAGCCAUGCUCUGAUACCACUUGUCACGGACUUAGUCUUUUCCUAAGAUUGUGUGGCAUUUAGACAAGCCAAGACCUUUGAUCUUGCUAAGUCAGCCUUACUCCAAAUGCUUAGCUUGCUAGGCUAAGACGCUUGCGACUCGGAAGCUUUAGAAGGCGUAGUAGGCAACUCUUAAAGAAUGGAAGCUUUAUUGCUUUCAAAGGAAGCUAUACAAUGCAUAGAAUCUCACUUGCUUGGUUAGGAAGUGAUUUGGGUGGUGCCUUGACCAAAUGAGGCCCUCACCUAUUUAUAGGCACCAAUGGAACUCUCUGGAACCUUGGAGGGUUCCUUACAAAUCAAGAAGAUUCUAGAAUACCCUACACAAUUCUAUGUACAACCCUAUGUACAAGAGAUCUCUAGAAUUCUCUAGAAAGCCUUGGACUCCUCUCAUGCCUUCCAUCAUAGUGUAGAGAUGUGUG